This is a long non-coding RNA of Oncorhynchus nerka (sockeye salmon), 412 nucleotides long. RefSeq lists it as uncharacterized. NCBI's taxonomy places the organism in Eukaryota, Metazoa, Chordata, Actinopteri, Salmoniformes, Salmonidae. The transcript is spliced from 2 exons. The record is from RefSeq and is a predicted model, not a curated record.
CUUAUGAUAGUAAUAUAUGACUACCAUUGUCUCAUUGAUGAGGCCCUGCUGAAACGAAGGUCAAAUACUUAAUCUAAACCCCUAACAAGCCCUAACUUUCAUAACCUUAAGAUCAGCAAUGCCACAUAUUCAGACAGUGGACAGUAUGUUUGUGCCUUACAGGUGCUUAAGAAUAGAAAAGGGCACUGGAAGGUAAUAACUAAUGUCACAGUCACUGUGAAUGGAGAAUUCAACAACCACCCCAACAGGAAUGACACAGCCCUGUUAUAUACUCCUGGGGAUCCUUACAUACCACUGUAUGUAGUGGGAACUGUUACGGAGUCUAGUUGAUAGGUAAUCGACUAGCCGGACUGUUCCCCGGACUCCAGUUGUAGGGAUUUGUACAAUGCACAAACAAGGCUAUUGAACCUGA